AGCAACCCGAGGAUCCUAUUUGGAAACUUAUGAUCGCUCUGUAGAACAAAUUCAUAUCUGAAGCGAUCCAGUUUGGGGAUUCGAAGUGGACUCAAAGCCCCGGAGGUUUUGGCAACUUUCCAUCUGGAAUUAGGGUUUUUGAAGCAUUUUGUGAUUUGGAUAUCGGAUUUUGGAAGAAAUGCUUGGGGAUUCGUCAUCGGAGUCUGGAGGGGACGAAAAGGAAAACGAGUUCGUCGAGGUCGAUCCUACAGGUCGCUACGGACGGUACAAUGAAGUUCUGGGAAAGGGCGCAUUCAAGACUGUCUAUAAGGCUUUUGAUGAGGGAGAGGGAAUAGAGGUUGCUUGGAAUCAGGUGAAGCUUGUUGAUGUUCUGCAAAAUGCUGCUGACAUGGAAAGGCUCUACUCCGAAGUUCAUUUGCUGAAGACUUUAAAACACAAGAACAUAAUUAAAUUCUAUAGCUCAUGGGUUGACACGAAAAAUGACAACAUAAAUUUCAUCACCGAGGUCUUCACUUCAGGGACCUUGCGCCAAUAUCGGAAGAAGCAUAAGCAUGUUGACUUGAGAGCACUGAAGAAUUGGUCAAGGCAGAUCUUGUGUGGCCUUCUUUACCUGCAUAGUCAUGAUCCCCCUGUUAUUCACAGGGACCUGAAAUGUGACAACAUAUUUGUCAAUGGAAAUCAAGGAGAGGUUAAGAUUGGUGACCUUGGUUUGGCAGCCAUUCUACGCCAAUGUCACUCAGCCCAUAGUGUUAUUGGUACUCCUGAAUUCAUGGCUCCUGAACUUUAUGAAGAGGAGUAUAAUGAGCUGGUUGAUAUUUAUGCAUUUGGGAUGUGUUUGUUAGAACUUGUGACCUUUGAAUACCCAUAUGCGGAAUGUAAAAAUGCAGCACAAAUAUAUAAGAAAGUGACUUCGGGUAUCAAGCCUGCAUCAUUGACCAAGGUGAAGGACCCUGGGAUAAGACAAUUCAUUGAGAAAUGUAUUGCUAAUGCUUCUGAAAGAAUGUCUGCUGACGAAUUGUUGAGGGAUCCCUUUCUUCAAAUGGAUUCCGAAAAUGAUAUCUUAUGUAAUUCCAGACCAUUAGAUCAUAACAGUUCAGAUACCAUCAUGCAAGAAACAUCUACAGGUGGAAUAGACUGCACGGUGGAAGGUCAAAGAAAAGAUAUUAAAACACUUUUUUUGAAGCUAAGGAUUGCAGAUUCUACAGGUCAAAUUCACAAUAUCCACUUUCCAUUUAAUAUUGAAGCGGACACAUGCAUUAGUGUGGCUGCUGAAAUGGUUGCAGAGUUAGAUCUUACUGAUCAAGAUGUAAGCACCAUUGCUGAUAUGAUCAAUGCAGAAAUACAAGUUCAUUUUCCUGGGUGGGCUCCAGGAACCCUUGGUGAAGAUCCUGACAAUGAGGCUCCAUCAAAUAAAGAAGAUUUUAAAGCUGAAGAUGAGACUCAUGCUACUGGCGAUCUUUUGUUGGAACGACUACCUGCUGGGAAAAAAUAUUGGUCUGAUUUUCCCAAUGGAUCACGUAGUAACUCUGCCUUUGGACAAAAUUUGGUGUUAAGUCCUUGUGACAGCGAUGAUGUUUUGGAGAUGAAAGAUAAUUUAUAUUUCCGGGAUGAUUAUUCUCAAGGUUUUGCUUUAGUUGAACGGGAAAGAAGCCUGAGGCAUUCCAUCACCAGCUAUCGAGAAAAAAAUCAUGCUUCAGAAAGCUUGUCCUCCAGUAGUCUGGUUGCCCAGGAGCUUAUUGAGGAAUCUACUAUCUCUGAUUCCAUUGAAAACCAAAUGGAAGCAUUCCGAAAUGAUGAUACUAAUGUGCUGUCAGAGAAUGGGUCCAAAGCUCUCGAGUCUGUUAUACUCAAACUAGAGGAACUUUUGCUUAAGCAACAAAAGGAAAUUGAUGAUCUUAGAGAAAGACAUGAUUUUGCCAUAGCAGACACGUUGAGGGAAUUGCCUCUUGAGCUACAAAAUAGAGCCUUCAGGAUAUGCCACCUGAAAAUUCUUGAUUGCAGUAUGAAAUCUAAGAGUGAAGUAGCAUGGAAGUAUCUUUGAAUUAUUGAUCGGCCAUUCAUUAGGGGGUGUUUUACUUUGGAGAAAUGGUUGCGUAGUACACUAGAUAACUUGUUUGAUUUGUUCAUGUAGAGCUAAAGAGAAAAAGAAAGAAUGUAUUCUGCUAGAUAUUUGGAAGGCAUCUUUCCAGAUACAAAGUUUUUGAUGAGAGGGAGGGAGUAGAGGAUGCUUGGAAUUGGCUGACACUUCUGAUAUCCUAAAUAACGUUGAUGACUUGGAAAGCUACUCUGAAGUCCACUUGCUCAAAACUCUAGACUCUAAUUCACAGUAACAUAAUUAAGUUAUAUAGUUUAAAGGGUGGGUAUCCAUCCCUACAAAAUCAAAUUCAUCUCUGAGGUCUUCACCUUAGGAAUCUUGAGUAUAGCAGAAUUCAUUAUUCCUCGACUUUAUAAGAGGAGCAUAAUAAGCAGGUUGAUAUCAAUGUAAUUGGAUGUGUUAGAGCAGGAUUGAAAGCUGAAAUAAUCUGAUUUAGUUCUAUGAAGCUCAAUACCUUUGUCGUGACUGUUGACUGGAGAUCUGCUUUAAACAUUCUGCACACCCUUGUUACAAUGUUACCAAUAAGGUUUGUGCUACAGUCGUGUAAUGACUAGACCUGCUAUAACUUUUUUCAUUUUUAUUAUUUUUGUUGCAUAACCAUUUAUGAAAAAGAUUGAUGAUUCCAGCAGCAAGUGGGCAAAGGCUGUCUGAAAACCUCGAGGAAGCAAUUGGUCUAUAGUUUUCUUUCUCGUGGCACAACACAAAAUCUUAACAUAAAGGUGGUGGCUUUAGCCAAAGGCGGAAUCAGACAAUUUUGCAAGUGUGGCAAUUUAUUAAAUAAAAUAAUUAGUUUUAUUACAUAAAAUUGGUAGCACAUAUUCAAGAAUUUUUAUUUUAUUAUCAUUGUUGAAUUAAACAAUGACUACAAGCUUCUUAUUCUAUUCUGUAUUGUUUGAUAAUAUUAUGUAAAGUUUUAUUGGAAGUCCAGUCAAAUGUAUAUUUUUCA
Phalaenopsis equestris is the source of this 3041-nucleotide RNA transcript. It is a transcript of the gene named probable serine/threonine-protein kinase WNK3, with no coding region annotated. The transcript has 11 exons. The record is from RefSeq and is a predicted model, not a curated record. Lineage: Eukaryota; Viridiplantae; Streptophyta; Magnoliopsida; Asparagales; Orchidaceae.